Suncus etruscus (white-toothed pygmy shrew) is the source of this 549-nucleotide long non-coding RNA. RefSeq lists it as uncharacterized. The transcript has 2 exons. The record is from RefSeq and is a predicted model, not a curated record. Lineage: Eukaryota; Metazoa; Chordata; Mammalia; Eulipotyphla; Soricidae.
AGCCAGAAGUGAUUUCUGAGCGCACAGCCAGGAGUAACCCUGAGUGUCACUGGGUGUAGCCCAAAAACUAACCAAAAAAAACCUCAAAAGUAUGGUCCCAUACAGCUGAGUUGAAAAGAAUGAACUUCACACUGACCAAAUAUCGAAAGACCCCAUGAUGUAGGGGCCACUCAGGCAGUAGCUGCUCAUCUCCACAGGGAUAUGGGAGCCUCUGCCCACCCCAUGGCUGCCUUGAGAGUCCUGAGUACCUGCUCUGCUCUCUUGAGGUAUCCUAAAGGGAAGGAAGACGAGAACCACACACAGGAUGACUUAAACUUUGAUGACUAAAUUUUUAAAAAGGAAAUGGCAUUUGAUUUUAAAAACGGAAUGGCUGUAUUUCCUUGUAUGCUGCUGAAAGAGUGAACAGUGAAGUUAGAUGAUUUCAACCAUUUGAAAAAUUUUUGUUUUUGCAAAUGCCCUACUGCUUGCGCCACCUCUCCAGCCCCUGAAAAGUUUAAUUCAGCAUUGGUUUUGGUAAAACUUGAACAAACAUGGAAUAAGUUGGGAAAA